GGAUUUUGUUGAGCUACACGACUGAUGAGAAUCCUGUUUUGAGGCUUCCUAGCAGGAGGAGCUCCAGUCAGUGGAGGGUGGUGGAACCAGGAGUGGACACCAGACUUUGGGCACUUCCACUGGCCCAUGCUGCUGCUUCCUCGCUGACAUCCAAGGAGAGACAUGAGGGGAACUGCAGAAGAUCCAAGUCCUGGUGGACCAAGCACUGGGGAAAGAAGAUAGUAAGAGACACAAAGAAAAGAUGGUCCUGGCAGCCGGAGAAAGUGAAGCCAGCAG
Molecule: long non-coding RNA, 276 nt
Organism: Hipposideros armiger (great roundleaf bat)
Lineage: Eukaryota; Metazoa; Chordata; Mammalia; Chiroptera; Hipposideridae
Exons: 3
Source: RefSeq, a predicted model, not a curated record